UACGGAGGGUGCAAGCGUUAUCCGGAUUUACUGGGUUUAAAGGGUGCGUAGGUUGAUUGGUAAGUCAGUGGUGAAAUACUACAGCGCAACUGUGGAACUGCCAUUGAUACUAUCAAUCUUGAAUGCAGUGGAGGCAGGCGGAAUGUGUCAUGUAGCGGUGAAAUGCUUAGAUAUGACACAGAACACCUAUUGCGAAGGCAGCUUGCUACACUGUGAUUGACACUGAGGCACGAAAGCGUGGGGAUCAAACAGG
Molecule: ribosomal RNA, 253 nt
Filed under: uncultured bacterium
Lineage: Bacteria
Description: partial 16S ribosomal RNA
Rfam family: Bacterial small subunit ribosomal RNA
Source: RNAcentral